UGACGUCAAGUCCUCAUGGCCCUUAUGUCCAGGGCUACACACGUGCUACAAUGGCCGGUACAGGAGUGACGCGAAGCCGCGAGGUGGAGCAAAUCGCAGAAAGCCGGCCUUAGUUCGGAUUGGAGUCUGAAACUCGACUCCAUGAAGGUGGAAUCGCUAGUAAUCGCGCAUCAGCAUGGCGCGGUGAAUACCGGUUCCCGGGCCUU
RNAcentral lists this ribosomal RNA (206 nucleotides) under uncultured Spirochaetaceae bacterium. RNAcentral's name for it is "partial 16S ribosomal RNA". It matches the Rfam family "Bacterial small subunit ribosomal RNA", at positions 1180 to 1382 of the family's 1533-position model. The record is from RNAcentral. Lineage: Bacteria; Pseudomonadati; Spirochaetota; Spirochaetia; Spirochaetales; Spirochaetaceae.